GGGGAUAUUGCCAAUGGGGGAACCCUGAUGCAGCCUGCCGCGUGUGUGAAGAAGGCCUUCGGGUUGUAAAGCACUUUCAGUUGUGAGGAAAAGUUAGUAGUUAAUACCUGCUAGCCGUGACGUUAACAACAGAAGAAGCACCGGCUAACUCCGUGCCAGCAGCCGCGGUAAUACGGAGGGUGCGAGCGUUAAUCGGAAUUACUGGGCGUAAAGCGCACGCAGGCGGUUUGUUAAGCUAGAUGUGAAAGCCCCGGGCUCAACCUGGGACGGUCAUUUAGAACUGGCAGACUAGAGUCUUGGAGAGGGGAGUGGAAUUCCAGGUGUAGCGGUGAAAUGCGUAGAUAUCUGGAGGAACAUCAGUGGCGAAGGCGACUCCCUGGCCAAAGACUGACGCUCAUGUGCGAAAGUGUGGGUAGCGAACAGGAUUAGAUACCCUGGUAGUCCACACCGUAAACGCUGUCUACUAGCUGUUUGUGACUUUAAGUCGUGAGUAGCGAAGCUAACGCGAUAAGUAGACCGCCUGGGGAGUACGGCCGCAAGGUUAAAACUCAAAUGAAUUGACGGGGGCCCGCACAAGCGGUGGAGCAUGUGGUUUAAUUCGAUGCAACGCGAAGAACCUUACCUACACUUGACAUGUUGAGAAGUUACCAGAGAGGUUUCGUGC
Molecule: ribosomal RNA, 664 nt
Filed under: Alteromonas sp. UST020129-020
Lineage: Bacteria; Pseudomonadati; Pseudomonadota; Gammaproteobacteria; Alteromonadales; Alteromonadaceae
Description: bacterial SSU rRNA
Rfam family: Bacterial small subunit ribosomal RNA
Source: RNAcentral